GUAUUUUUUGUAUAGCGACUUUUUCAUGUAAACUAACGGACUUUAAAAAUUCUCUACAGUAUUUCCUUUUAUUUUUCAUAUCUGUCAGGAUUGGCUGCCUAAAGGACGCCAUCUGUCUGUAAGAACAGAAUGGCAACUUAACGGGAGGAGCAAAUUUUACCCACAAACAGCAAUUCCUCCUUUAGGCAAAGUGAGUUCCAAUAAGGGUGGAUGGAAAAUGAACCCAAGCGCGCUUAAAAGUAACAAUAGUAAUUAUACAGACAUGCCUCCCCUAACAGGACCUGCUGAGAAAAGAGGAAGGCGUGGCUAAAGUGAGAACUACGUUGCGUUUGCUCAGUAUUGGUUUUAGGUUGGUGCUCGAGACUCGGGAGUGCGCUUGCGCCUGGCGGGGGUAGAGUUUAGGCUGUGUGGAACGCAGGCUGUCUUGGUCGCUUCUCCCGCGCAUUUCCAGAGAAAGUGGGCCAUUUUGACAGGUGGUAACGAAUCUCCGAGGAUGUUUAUCCAAGGCCAAGGAGUAAUUUUAGGGCUUUAGGAGAGCCACCCACACUGACCCUGGAACUUUCUACGUCAACAAAAAUGAUAACCGGAGCAGGACCUUAAACAACUUGCACCUCAGAGGCAUGGGACUGCACUCUACUUCAAAGGAGAUACCUCAGUAUGUAUAUGACCAUGGGAUCCCAGCUUAUGUCACAUUCUACACCAUUCAGAAGCUGCUGGUAUGAUGGAAUAAUGGGGAAGUCUAUUGAAUGAACAGCCUGUAGAAGGCAUUGCUGAAGAGGCAGAUCAGAGGCACUGUUACUGGAGAGCAUUCCACCACUCUGGUUGAUGCCAAAGAUACAUUUCACUAAAAUUGUAAUUACAAUUCUGUAUCUUUGCCCGGUAAAAUGGAAAACAUAGAAAAUAUGCGGAGUUUCAACAUCCACUGUAGACAGAACGUUCUGGCUGAGAGAGGAGUACAACUGCACAAGGUAGGUAACAAUGUUUUUGGCAUUUUUCUCAGCUCUACAUACUGCUUCAACAAAGGAAAAAAGCUAGAACUGGAAAAGGGAGGCAGGAAGGAGAGGUACAAGGAGUCUGA
Leopardus geoffroyi (Geoffroy's cat) is the source of this 1078-nucleotide long non-coding RNA. RefSeq lists it as uncharacterized. The record is from RefSeq and is a predicted model, not a curated record. The transcript is spliced from 4 exons. NCBI's taxonomy places the organism in Eukaryota, Metazoa, Chordata, Mammalia, Carnivora, Felidae.